RNAcentral lists this ribosomal RNA (477 nucleotides) under uncultured bacterium. RNAcentral describes it as "partial 16S ribosomal RNA". It matches the Rfam family "Bacterial small subunit ribosomal RNA", at positions 30 to 507 of the family's 1533-position model. The record is from RNAcentral.
AUUGAACGCUGGCGGCAUGCCUUACACAUGCAAGUCGAACGGUAACAGGUUAAGCUGACGAGUGGCGAACGGGUGGGUAAUGUAUCGGAACGUGCCCAGUCGUGGGGGAUAACUGCUCGAAAGAGCAGCUAAUACCGCAUACGACCUGAGGGUGAAAGCAGGGGAUCGCAAGACCUCGCGCGAUUGGAGCGGCCGAUAUCAGAUUAGGUAGUUGGUGAGGUAAAGGCUCACCAAGCCGACGAUCUGUAGCUGGUCUGAGAGGACGACCAGCCACACUGGGACUGAGACACGGCCCAGACUCCUACGGGAGGCAGCAGUGGGGAAUUUUGGACAAUGGGCGCAAGCCUGAUCCAGCCAUGCCGCGUGCGGGAAGAAGGCCUUCGGGUUGUAAACCGCUUUUGUCAGGGAAGAAAAGGUUCUGGCUAAUACCUGGGACUCAUGACGGUACCUGAAGAAUAAGCACCGGCUAACUACGUG